GAUGAACGCUGGCGGCGUGCUUAACACAUGCAAGUCGAACGAGUGGCGAACGGGUGAGUAACACGUGAGCACUCUGCCCCUGACUCUGGGCUAAGCGCUGGAAACGGCGUCUAAUACUGGAUAGUCAGGGAUGAGCUCGCGGCCUAUCAGCUUGUUGGUGAGGUAAUGGUCACCAAGGCGCGACGGGUAGCCGGCCUGAGAGGGUGACCGGCCACACUGGGACUGAGACACGGCCCAGACUCCUACGGGAGGCAGCAGUGGGGAAUAUUGCACAAUGGGCGCAAGCCUGAUGCAGCAACGCCGCGUGAGGGAUGACGGCCUUCGGGUUGUAAACCUCUUUUAGCAGGGAAGCGGUACCUGCAGAAAAAGCGCCGGCUAACUACGUGCCAGCAGCCGCGGUAAUUC
RNAcentral lists this ribosomal RNA (405 nucleotides) under uncultured bacterium. RNAcentral's name for it is "partial 16S ribosomal RNA". It matches the Rfam family "Bacterial small subunit ribosomal RNA", at positions 28 to 526 of the family's 1533-position model. The record is from RNAcentral.